GACGAACGCUGGCGGCGUGCCUAAUACAUGCAAGUCGAACGCAUUUUCUUUCACCGUAGCUUGCUACACCGAAAGAAAAUGAGUGGCGAACGGGUGAGUAACACGUGGGUAACCUGCCCAUCAGCGGGGGAUAACACUUGGAAACAGGUGCUAAUACCGCAUAAUUCCAUUUACCGCAUGGUAGAUGGAUGAAAGGCGCUUUUGCGUCACUGAUGGAUGGACCCGCGGUGCAUUAGCUAGUUGGUGGGGUAACGGCCUACCAAGGCUGCGAUGCAUAGCCGACCUGAGAGGGUGAUCGGCCACACUGGGAAUGAGACACGGCCCAGACUCCUACGGGAGGCAGCAGUAGGGAAUCUUCGGCAAUGGACACAAGUCUGACCGAGCAACGCCGCGUGAGUGAAGAAGGGUUUCGGAUCGUAAAACUCUGUUGUUAGAGAAGAACAAGGAUGAGAGUGGAAAGUUCAUCCCUUGACGGUAUCUAACCAGAAAGCCACGGCUAACUACGUG
Molecule: ribosomal RNA, 507 nt
Filed under: uncultured bacterium
Lineage: Bacteria
Description: partial 16S ribosomal RNA
Rfam family: Bacterial small subunit ribosomal RNA
Source: RNAcentral